UACGUAGGGGCGAGCGUUGUCCGGAAUUACUGGGCGUAAAGGGUGCGCAGGUGGCUUGGCAAGUCAGAUGUGAAAUACCGAUGCUUAACAUCGGGGCUGCGUUUGAAACUGCUGAGCUGGAGUGCAGGAGAGGAAAGCGGAAUUCCUAGUGUAGCGGUGAAAUGCAUAGAUAUUAGGAGGAACACCAGUGGCGAAGGCGGCUUUCUGGACUGUAACUGACACUGAGGCACGAAAGCGUGGGGAGCAAACAGGAUUA
RNAcentral lists this ribosomal RNA (256 nucleotides) under uncultured prokaryote. RNAcentral describes it as "partial 16S ribosomal RNA". It matches the Rfam family "Bacterial small subunit ribosomal RNA", at positions 524 to 780 of the family's 1533-position model. The record is from RNAcentral.